Molecule: ribosomal RNA, 459 nt
Filed under: uncultured bacterium
Lineage: Bacteria
Description: partial 16S ribosomal RNA
Rfam family: Bacterial small subunit ribosomal RNA
Source: RNAcentral
CUACGGGAUGCAGCAGUGAGGAAUAUUGGUCAAUGGGCGAAAGCCUGAACCAGCCAUGCCGCGUGAAGGAUGACGACCCUAUGGGUUGUAAACUUCUUUUAUAUGGGAAGAAACACCUCUACGUGUAGAGGUUUGACGGUACCGUACGAAUAAGCAUCGGCUAACUCCGUGCCAGCAGCCGCGGUAAUACGGAGGAUGCAAGCGUUAUCCGGAUUUAUUGGGUUUAAAGGGUACGUAGGCGGAAACUUAAGUCAGUAGUGAAAUCCCGCAGCUUAACUGUGGAACUGUUAUUGAUACUGGGUUUCUUGAAUAUUGUUGAGGUAGGCGGAAUAAGUAAUGUAGCGGUGAAAUGCUUAGAUAUUACUUAGAACACCGAUUGCGAAGGCAGCUUACUAAGCAAUUAUUGACGCUGAGGUACGAAAGCGUGGGGAGCGAACAGGAUUAGAUACCCCCGUAGUC